GCAACUCGCCUGUAUGAAGUCGGAAUUGCUAGUAAUCGCGGAUCAGCAUGCCGCGAUGAAUACGUUCCCGGGCCUUGUACACACCGCCCGUCACACCAUGAGAGCCGGUAACACCCGAAGUCAGUAGCUUAACCGCAAGGGGGGCGCUGCCGAAGGUGGGAUUGGUAAUUGGGGUGAAGUCGUAACAAGGUACC
This 194-nucleotide ribosomal RNA is filed under the name uncultured bacterium. RNAcentral describes it as "partial 16S ribosomal RNA". It matches the Rfam family "Bacterial small subunit ribosomal RNA", at positions 1307 to 1500 of the family's 1533-position model. The record is from RNAcentral.